UAGUUUAUGGCUGCAAUUAUAUUAAAAGUUGGACGAAAACAACUAUUUCUUUAGACUUACAAAAUUAUUUUUCUGGUUAAUGUUGCAGAUAACGAGAAGUUUGGAACUUGCAUGUCAAACUGCAGUGAGAACUAUUGCAUGGGCAACAAUGCUCUAGAGAAAGCUUAAGAAGCAAGCAUUUGCUCUAAGAAAUAAGUAAAACUUUGCCACAAUAUGUGUCUGUGGUAAUGACACCGAGUACGGAGAACUUGUGUUUGUGAUCCAAUCAUCUAAUAAGAUCAUUUUAGUUCAGUUAAUAUAUCCAUGACCUUUUUAUGGAUCCAAUUAUCUAAUAAGAUCAUUUUAGUUCAGUUAAUAUAUCCAUGACCUUUUUACGGGAAAAGUACAUAUUCCGUCUAUCUAUUGGUUCAAAAGUACACACUACGUUAAUUUUAUUAGUUAAAAUACCACUACGUUUAACGACAGACCAACUGAUCUUUCAAAUUAAUGUGUUGGCAUCUUUUUACUUGACCACAUGAUACUCUCGUCCAAAAAUAAAUCAAGUAAAACGAAAACUACAUGAAACCACACCUACAGCUGCCACCCUACCUUUUCCUCAUACUAAAAAAUAAGCCCUAAAAACAAUCAUUUUACAAAAAAAAAAAACAACCUCAAAACAACAGGAAAACGUCCUGAACAACUAUAAAAACGCAGUUGGACACACCACUUUGUAGCAGCUCCAACAUCAUCUUGUUUCAGCCAUUUAAGCCACUCAUUUUUCUCUAGAUCUCAUUCUUCUAACACCCUAAAAACCAGCUAUUAAACCAACUCCAUAACCAUGAUCUCACAGUUUGCUCCAACGAAACAACCACAACACUACUGUAUUGGGUAAAAUUUGGCUCCUAACGUCCCUGCGCCAAGUGGGUACGUUGAUUGUGGUAAGGCCGACCUGAGUGAAGGGUAAAAUUUUGCUCCUAACGUCCCUACGAUAAGUGGGUACGUUGAUUGUGGUAAGGCCGACCUGAGUUAGGGCACGACCCUGCCAAUAAAACAAAGUCUACGUUAUUUGGGGUCUUACUUCUUCGGUAAGAAGAAGCGACCUACCUUUCUAUUUUUUUUUUUGAUUAUUUCGAGGAAGAUCUCCUACUAUAUAAAGGAGACCUUCAUAUUGUAAUGGGGACGUGUGUUAUUCUAAACAAUACAACUCUCUUACUCUCUCUCUAUCUGUAGCAGAUACCCUCUAUCUGUCCCUCAAGAUCUCCAACUUUUUUUAUUUCUUUACGUUAUCCUAUCUAUGGUGAUCAUAUAGCUACAAGUACAACUCUCUUACUCUCUCUCUAUCUGUAGCACAUACCCUCUAUCUCUCCCUCAAGCUCUCCAGCUCUUCUUAUUUCUUUACGUUAUAGGAUCUAUGGUGAUCAUAUAGCUACAAUCAUCUUUAGGUCUCAUUACAGUUGAUUACGAUUUACCCUUGUUCAUUUUUUGUUGUUUUUAAGCUUAUAAAGUACAUAAAUAACUUUUGAGGGAAAAUAUUUGGCGCCAUGUGUGGGAAUUUACGGAAUGAAAAGUUUUUUGUUGUUUAUAAGCUUAUAAAGUACAUAAAUAACUUUUGAGGGAAAAUAUUUGGCGCCGUGUGUGUGAAUUUAGAGAAUGAAAACCGUAGUUUGCACCUAAAGAACCAUCGAAAACCCUCCUCUACAACACACAAACAAAUGAUGGUUGACAACAACGCAAGAACGAAAGCGAUAGCAAAUGUAAGAACUGACCUCGUGGGUCCUCUCAACGAAGCAAGUGUAGAGGAUGUCUUGAAUCAAACUCCUAACACCAUAUUGAAUUGGGAGAUCCCACCUCCCAAUCCUGAAUAUCUGGAGAUCUCACGCGAAAAGGAAGCUUCUAUAUCUGCAACUAAAGAAGUACCCCCAGAGGUCCAGAAACUACUGUAAUAAUGGUUAAUGAGUACUCUAAGUGGCUUGGUUGAAGAGUCACCCCAAAACAAUGUCAGAUGCAGGUCAACAGUGGACCUUGCUGCAGCUGAGGGCAAACCCGAGAUUGUACAAGCAAAUAAUAUGCUCGUCGAUACUCAGGAAAACGGUGGUACGCUCACAGCCAUCCCCAAGAAGAUGGUGGAAAUGGAAAACGAAAACAAGUCAUUUCGUGACCAGAUGAAGGAACACCAAGAGAGGGUAGACAAGAUCCCUAGUGCUCUUAAGCUGCUUCUAAAGCAUGACGUGGGGAGGUUUGUCGAACAACCUUACAUGGAGAAGGGUGCACCAUACCCCAUCCCAAAAACCUUAAAAAUGCCUCCUUAUUUAAGAGAGUACGACGGGGGAGGUUUGUCGAACAACCUUACACGGAGAAGGCUGCACAUACCCCAUCCCAAAAACCUUAAUAUGCCUCCUUAUUUAAGAGAGUAUGACGGGACUACAGAUCCCAAGGACCACCUGAUUCACUAUGUUACGGCUGUAAAAUGUAAUGAACUAUCACAAGAAAAGGUACCAACCGUGCUGCUGAAGAAGUUCGGCAAAAAACUAACAGGAGGAGCGCUAACCUGGUACUCCCAGCUAUCGGCCCAGAUCAUUUUUACGUUAGUGUCACCGCCCAUGCAGGAGAAAAGAAGGAGGAAGCAACAGUCAACGACAUAUUUUCUAUUCGACAAACAACACGAGAAGGACUCAGGGAUUUCCUAGCCAGAUUUAAUAGAGUAAGGAUGAGCCUACCAAACGUGUCGGAAGGCAUGGCGGUCGCCGCUUUUCAGAACGGGUUAAGCAGGGAUGGCUCGAGGGCAACCAAAAAACUACUAAGCCGCCUCAUGAAGUACCCGCCCACCACGUGGGAAGAUAUUCACAACGCUUAUUGCGCUGAGGUACGUGCAGAUGAGGAAAACCAAAAAACUGCCAAGUCGUCUCAUGAAGUACCCUCCCACAACCUGGGAAGAGAUCCACAACGCCUACUACGCCGAGGUACGUUCAAAUGAUUAUGACCUCAAUGGGCCAACCCAACGUUUAACAAUAAUACACGCAGAAAUCAGAAGGGACCGAUGCAACGAAGGGAGGCAGGAACAAGUCCCAUAUCCCAAUAGGGAGAGGCACCAACCCAAUGUCAGAUAUUCUCAUCCACCACCACCAAGACACGUGGACGCACAAUAAUGACAUGUCUCCCACUAAAAAUUGAUAGAGGUAUGCCUCCUUUAUUAUAUGCACAUAACUUCUGUGUGUCCCCAUCAGAUAUAGUGUACGCAUUGAAGAAGCUGGGGACUAGAGCAUAGUGGCCCACAAAGAUGAAAUCAGAUUCAACCACCUGAAAAUCAAAUGCCCUGUGCUAGUUUCAUCAGGAACGAGGGCACAAAGCCGAAGACUGCAUAGGCCUAUGGCAAGAGGUGGUCAGGAUGUUGAACCAAGGAUUCCUGAGGGAACUACUCAGCGAUAAAGGAAAAAUCAACUAUGCACGUAGACGGGAACACCCCACAGGCCACCAAGCCACCCUCACCAACAUCCACGAUCAACAUGAUCAUCAGAGAUGGUGCUGACUCAGUGAUGAAUCACGUCAAAUUCACCACUACACACAAACUAAAGCGAACCAUCGCCCACGAACGGUAUGACGACUUUGAAGAUAGUAUCACCUUCGAUAAGUCUGAUGCCGACGAUUUGUCUUUCCCUCAUUAUGAUGCUUUAGUUAUUACUCUGCGUAUCGCAGAUACGAAUGUUAAAAGAAUCAUGGUUGAUGACGGUAGUAGCACUUGUAUUAUCCAUCUGAGGGUCCUCGUACUAAUGGGACUCGAGGAUAAGAUAAUAUUGCGCUACAUAACACUAGUUUCAAUAAUGCAGUGGAACAAAGCUUCAGAUAGAUAUCACUGCCCGUUCUAGCCGGAGGGGUCACACUGGAGAUGACUUUCCACGUAAUGAACCAGGAAAUAGCGUAUAUUUCCAUCAUCGGACGCCCAUGGAUACAUGGAAUGAGAGCGGUCCCGUCAAGCUUCUAUCAAACAAUCAAGUUUCCCAACCCAUGUGGAGUAUUCAGCAUUCGAUGCGAGCCUCGCACUGCUCAAGAAUGCUAUAAAAUAGCAAUCAGCCAUGUUGGAGACUAAGGUCGACCCAACAAAAGAUGCCUUCAGAGUCCCCGAAACCGUAGAGUCCUGCAAGGCCACGAUUGAGGAUCUCAACCCCCUCUAGAUAGACAACACCGAUCCUAUAAAGAAAGCCUACAUAUGGCACGACCUCAUUAAUCCAAUUAAGUAAUGUGAAUUUCUAUCUAACAAUGCAUAUUUUUUUGCCUUUUCCCAUUCAGAUAUGACAGUAAUCCCUCAAGACAUCGCCACUCACAAGAUGAAAGUUGACCCAUUACGCCCGCCUGUACGACAAAUGAGAUGAAAAUUCAAUGCUGUUAUCAACGAAGCGGUCAGUGAAGAAGUAGACAAACUUCUAGCCAAUGACUCCAUCAGGGAACCUGUACGACAAAUGAGAUGAAAAUUCAACGCCGUUAUCAACGAAGUGGUCAGUGAAGAAGUAGACAAACUUCUAGCCAGCGACUCCAUCAGGGAAUCAAAGUAUCCUCAAUGGGUCGCCAAUGUCGUCAUGUUCGAAAAGAAAAAUGGGAAGUGGAGAAUGUGUAUGGAAUUCACCGACUUGAACAAAGAGUGCCCAAAAGGCUCGUUCCCACUGCCCCCACAUCGACCAGCUGAUAGACUUAAUCGAAGUACAUGAGCUGCUAAGCUUCUUAGACACUUACUCCGACUAUAAUCAGAUCAUGACGGCCGAGGAGGACCAUGAGAAAACAACUUUCAUCACUCACCAAGGAACGUACUGCUACAAGGUAAUUCCCUCCGGGCUUAUAAAUGUGGGAGCCACGUACAAGAGGGUGGUCACCAAGAUGUUCAAAUAACAACUUAGUAAGUCUAUGGAAGUAUAUAUCGUUGAUAUUCUAGUAAAGUCGUGAAUGAAACAAGACCACAUCGACCACCUGAAGGAGGCCUUCAAAAUAUUAAGGAGAUACGAAAUGAAGUUAAACCCCGAGAAAAGUGCCUUCAGUGUGGCCUCAGGAAUGUUCUUGGGAUUCCUCGUAUCACAACGAGGCAUUGAGGUCAACCCCAGACUAGAUCAAGGCAAUAGACGCAAUCCCCGAAGUUUUAAGCAGCAAAAAAUAAGUGCAAAAGAUGACGGGGUGGAUAGCCGCCCUAUCCAGAUUCAUUUCACGGUCCUAUGACAGGUGUUAUAAGUUUUUCAAUGUGUUUAAAAAAGACCAAGGUCUACAGUGGAACGAGGAGUGCGUUGAAGCUUGAGGAAGCUAAAGGAGUAUCUAUCCUCGCCGCCUCUGCUGGUCAAAGCAAUCCCGGGCGAACCCCUGUUGGUGUAUCUGGCCAUAUCUGAGGUUGCCGAUAGCGUCAUCCUAGUCCGCAAAAACAAAGGUAAAAACUCUCUUAUCUAUUACAUUAGCAAAACCUUAGUGGCUUAUAUGCAAAAAAGUGAUAAAGAUAAGAACUUUUGCCUAAAAAGUUAAUUUUAGAUAAUUUCAGUCAACGUUUUGAGUAAAUAGAAUUGGACCCAUAUUUUCACAAUCCCAGUUUGUCCAUACUAAAAUAUGGGAUCCGGGCGUAUCCCCAGAAUCGAAUUCCGAGGUCCCUAGCUUUAGUUAUCAAUUUUUAUUGAAAAUUAAAAGUCUGAAAAAUCUAAUGUUUUUCCGAAUUAUUGAAUGAUUAGCAUUCUUUAUACCGGUUCCGUAUUUUAACUCCGGAGUACGAUACAGGUCCAAUAUAAUAUUUUUGACUUAUUUGUAAAAUUUGGUAGGAAACAUAGUCAGUUUGACGUGAUUUGAAUAUUUCAUGUGAUUUGGUGUCAAAUUCGUAGUUCUAGGUGUUAAUUUGGAAAUCUGCAUGCGAGCUAGUUCAUAUGAUGUUUAUAGACUAGAGUGCGCUUUUGGUUUGGAUUACCGAGGGGCUUGGGUGUAUUUUUAGAUCAUUGGUUGAGAGACUAAUUGUCACGACACCAGGUCCCCCUCCGUGAACAUGUCGUGACGGCAAUCAUGCAAGCUAGUUCAUAUGAUGUUCAUAGACUGGAGUGUGCUUUUGGUUUGUAUUCCCGAGGGGCUUGGGUGUAUUUUCGGUCAUUUGUUGAGAGACUAAUUGUCACGACCCCAGUUCCCCCUCCGUGAACAUGUCGCGACGGCACCUAGUCUCUACGAGUAGGUAAGCCUAACAAUGCAGAAAACAACAUAACAUGAGAAAUUAAAAAAUUAAAACUGAAUAACUAUAAGAAAAAAUUGUUUAUAAAUGUUGCCCGACAGUUACAACUCAAUAAUGCGAAAUUCUGGAAUAAAACAAGAAUACUACAUAAAACUCCGAAAUUUGUCUAGCAAGAUCGGAAAGUACAAAAGGGCUAAAAUACUAAAAGUAGGAAUGAAAAAGGGACUCCUCGGCUUGCGGAUCCGGCAGGUGUACCUCGAAGUCUCUGAAUAGUCGCCUCCCUCAUGGAUUAUAGGACAGAGAAGAAGUACCUCGAUCUGCACAUGAAAACCAUGCGCAGAAGAGGCAUGAGUAAACCACAAGGGUACUCACUAAGUGCGAUGCCUAACAUCGGUCGGGUAAUGAUGAGGAAAGUCAGGUCCCUACUGAGGUUAAACAAUAUAAUAUGAAUUAAUAGUAUGCAUAUAGGUAGUAAUAACAAAUACAUCAGUGAAAUAAGAUAGGUUAAACUAGGCAGUAACAAAUACACAAAGAACAGAAUAAACAUGGAACAUGUACAGCUCAAUAGCAAUGGUAACAAUGAGGAUCUCCCAAGAUCGCCUCACACUCCUCUUACAAUUGAAAUGGAGCACCCUUCUGGGUCAAUCUGGUCAUAGGGGCUGCAAUCGAUGAAUAACCCUCCACAAAACGACAGUAGUAACCCGCCAAGCCACGGAAACUGCAAAUCUCUAUAGCUGAGGAGAGCCUAGGCAAACUCUACGCGGCCUCUACCUUCUUCUAAUCCAUCCGAAUUCCCUCACUCGAUACCACGUGGCCCAAGAAUUACAUAGAACUCAGGGUCUGAAGCACAAUCCUCAGGUGUUUCUCACGUUCUUCCCGACUCCGGAAGUAUACAAGAAUAUCUUUUAUGAAAACAUUGACGAACGAGUCGAGAUAGGGUCUGAACACACUAUGCAUCAAAUGCAUUAAUGCUGUUGGGGCAUUGGUCAUCUCAAUUGGCAUAACAAGGAACUGGUAAUGACCAUACCAAGUCCUUAAGGAAAUCUUCGGGAUAUCCGGCGCCCGAAUCUUCAACCGAUGGUACCCUGGGCGCAAAUCAAUCGUAGAAAACACAUGUGCGGCCUAAAGUUUGUCAAAUAUAUCAUCAAUACGAGGCAAACGAUAACGGUUCUUUACUGUAACCUUGUUCAACUAGCAAUAAUCGAUACACAUACGCAUAAAACUAUCUUUUUUCUUUGCAAACAAGAUAGGAGCAUCCCAAGGUGAACACUGGGUCGAAUAAAAUCCUGAUAAAGAAAUUCCUUUAACUGAUCCUUCAACUCCUUUAACUCAUGAGAAGCCAUACGGUACAUAGGAAUGGAAAUGGGCUUAGUUCCCGGCAACAAAUCAAUUCCGAAAUCAAUGUCUCUAUCGGGCGGCAUGCCCGGAGGUUAGCUGGAAACACAUCGGGAUAAUCCCGUACCACUGGGACCUAAUCAACAGAAGGGGUAUCAAUACGGACAUCUUUCACAUAAGCUAAAUACACAGCGCACCCCUUCUCAACCAUAUGCUGAGCUUUAAGAAAAUAGAUAACUCUACUGGGAGUGUGAUCUAAAGUACCACUCCACUCAACACGCAGAAUACCUUGCAUAGCCAGCGUCACGAUGUUGGCGUGACAAUAAAGAAUAGCAUAAUGGGGAAACAACCAGUCCAUGAGCAAGAUAAUAUCAAAAUCGACCAUGUUGAGUAACAACAAAUUUUCUCUGGUCUUAAAACCACGAAUAGUAACCAAACAUGACUGACAAACGCAGUCCACAACAAGAGAUUCUCCCACAGAAGUAAAAACAUGAAUGGGGAAACUCAAGGAAGUCCCGAGGUACACCCAAAUACGGAGAAAAAUAAGUAGACACAUAAGAAUAAGCAUAGCCUUGAUAGAGUAGAAUUGGUACACCUCUAUAACAAACCAUGACAAUACCUGUGAUGACAAAAUUGGAGGCAGCAACCUUCUUAGGGGUAGGUGGGGUAGUAACUGGGGUUGUAACCAUGGCCUGAGAGAUCUGCGGGGCACGCUGUAGCUGGGAAGUCUUUGGUGGUGCACUCCUCCCAAGUCUAGGGAAAUACAUCACCACAUGGCAUAUGGCUCCACACAUAAAAGAACCUCGCGACUGAUGUUACAGUGGAAACUAUACGUCAAGGGUACUCCAAGAUCCCUGAACACCCGAAACCCUGUGUGAAAUUUGAGAUGCAAACUGAGUUGGAUCACCCCAAUAACCUCAGCUAUGCCGUAAUCUUACUCCAAAAUAAGGGCCAACAGACCUACGAGGUCUUCUCACUCCUCUAUACUCUUCCUCCUGACAUCGUCUGUUCUCUCUCUCCUAGACCCACAUGUCCCCUACUUGGCGAGAGGUCCUCACCACCCGCUGAACUGGGACUACAGGCUAUGUCGCCGUGGUACCUGGAACCUGAUCAAUGGGAACUCGCUGCUCUUGAGUGGGGGCGGCAGGAGUCUGGGUCCCUCCCCUGAUCUGUGAAGUAGUCGGCACAACCUGAAUCGAUCCCGCCUAGAUCAAUGUACCAAACAUGCUCAAGAACUGUGUCAAUGCCUCCUGAACAGCUGCAAUAGUGAUGGCAGUGGGCGUGUCGGGUGCCUGAGUCCUGGAUGGAUCCGCUGGUGGUACCUCCGCUGCAGCCCGCGUAGGUGUAUGCUAAGGAACUAUUCCAAAGUCUUCUGAAGGGAUGGAGAAGUAGUAGCUGUAGGCGUGCCAAGUGCGUGAAUUUCAGCUGGAUCUGCUAGUUGUACCUCAGUAUUAGCUCGUGCAAGUGCUCUCGCUAUACCACGUGCGCGUCUUCAGCCAUUACCCGGACCCCAGCCUCUGAUGGUGGCAGUAGGGGGUGCGGGUUUCUGAUCAUCUCGAGUAGCGCAUGUCCUCGCCAUCUAUGAGAGAAUAAAAGACAGAAGUUUAAAAUUAUGAUGUCUAAAAUCCCGCACGAAAGGGAAGUCAAAUGAAGUGGAAUUUUCCUAAUACUUACAUAGCCUCCCAUAGAUAAGUACAGACAUCUCCGUACCGAUCAGUAUGACUCUACUCAACCGGCUUGUGAUCCGUGACUCCUAUGAACCUAGAGUUAUGAUAGAAACUUGUCACGACCCUAGUUCGCCCUCCGUAAACAUGUCAUGACGACACCCAGUCCCUUCGACUAGGUAAUCCUAGCAAUGCGAAAAAUAACAUAACUUGCAAAAAUUAAUAAUUAAAAUUGAGUAAUUAGAAGAAACAUUUGUAUGUAAAUUCCAUUAGGCAUAUACAACUCAAUAACGCGAAAGUCUGCAAUAACACCCCCAAACCCGGAAACCUACGAAUCACAUGGUAAGACAAGAAAUACUACAUAACUCUAACUCCGGAAUUUGUCUAUAAAGAUCAAAAAGUACAAAAGGGCGAAAUACUAAAAGUAGGAAUGGAAAGGGACUCCUUGGCCUGCAGAUGCGGCAGGUCUACCUUGAAGUCUCUGAAUAGUCACCUCCUUUAAGGAUGAUAGGCCUAAGAAGAAGUACCUGGAUCUGCACAUGAAAAACAUGCGGAGAAGAGGCAUGAGUACACAACAGCGGUACUCAGUAAGUGCCAAGCCUAACCUCGGUCGGGUAGUGACGAUAUCACAAUGCUACUCAGUAAAUGACAAGCCUAACAUCGGUCGGGUAGUGACGAGGAAGGUUAGGGCCCUACUGAGAUUAAACAAUAUAAUACUAAUUAGCAAUAUGAAAACAGGGAGUAAUAAUGAAUACAACAAUGAAAUAAGAUUGGUUAAACUAGGCAGUAAGAAAUACACAAAGAACAAAGUAAUCACGAAAUAUGUAAAGAUCAAUACCAACGGUAACAAUGAGGAUCUCCCAGGAUACCAUCUUGUAGUCAUUUUCUCAUCUGAUCAGUGGAUCUCCCGAGAUACCGUCCCAUAGUCCAUCAUAUGUGUAUAUUCGAAGGAUCUUCCGGGAUACUGUCCUAUUGUCCACCUAUUAAUGUGUAGGCGGAUCCAUCGGGAAUCUAACCCACAGUCCCAAAGUAAAUAUGCAGGGGGAUCUAUCGAGAAUCUAACCCGGAGUCCCAAAGUAAAUGUGAAGUGGGAUCUAUCGGGAAUCGAACCCACAGUCCCAAAGUAAACAAAAAAGGGAGGGAGCUACCGGAAUCCCAUUCCCGUAAUCCCAAUGUAAAUACACAGUCAUAACAAGAAGACAUCCAGAAAUAGAGUGCAAAAAUACAAGGCAACUGGUAGUUCUAACCUAACAUACUUCAUGUAGUACAACUAAAGCAACUUAAGCAAACAAGAAAUUUAGGUCAACUAAACAUGCUUUUCUAAACUAACAUAGGCUAGAAUUGCAAGUAGAUUAAAGUAGGUAAGAAGGAAAACUCAGUCCAAAUAUAUAAGGUAAAAUCGGAUUUUCAACAAAUAGCUCAAGUACGCGCUUGUCACCUCACGUACAAGGCAUUUAAUCACCAAAUAACAUAUCCUAAGGGAAGGUCCCCCACAUAAGGUUAUACAAGCCACUUACCUUGAACCGACAUACAAUCAACUAGAAACCAUGCGUCGCCGCGAGUAUCCGACUCCAAAUGGCCUAAAUCUAUUCAAUUCAAUUACAUAUUGUAAAUAACGUUGCAAGAAACUAAUUCUACUUUUUAAUUCAAAGCUAAAGCGUGAAAUUCAGUGAAAUUGCCAAAAUGCCCCUCAAGCCAACAUCUCGGAAUCGGAUAAUUUUCACAUUUUUAGAACCCACGUACUCUCACGAGUCUAACCAUAUAAAAAUCUCCCAAAUCAGAGGUCAAACACCCACUCAAAACUCAGUAGUUUGGUCUAUGAAGUUUUUCCUAUUUUUCAUUCAAAAAUACGAUAUUAAGUAUGAAUUCAUGAAUAGAUUAGUGGGUUUUAAGCAUAGCAGAAUAGAGAAUCGUUAUCCAGUAUUUCCCUCGAAAAACCUUCGAAAUUUCACCAAAAUCCGAGCUUUCAAGCUUAUAUUUUGAUAAUAGCUAACCCUCGUUUUGAAUGAUUUGAUACUGCCCAUAUAUUUAACGAAUCGCGAAUGCGGAGAUGAGCUCGCGUUCACGGAGAAGAAAAAUAGAAGGUGUCAAAAAUUCCCUUCGCGAUAGCGAGGGUAGAACGCGAACGUGAAUGCCUGGGAUAACAAUGCUACGCGAACGCUACGUUUGGAACGAGAACGCAAUGAAUAAAAUGUUGAGGUCCGGAAGUUGCUCUACAAGAACGCAUCGAAUCGUUCACGAGCGUGAAGGACAAGCUGGCAUAGGUACACGAACGCAUGGCAGCAUAUGUGAACGCGAUGGGGAAGUAAGUACAGCUUCCCGAUCGUGAAAGGGGUUAUGCGAACGUGUAGAAGGAACUUUCCCCCUUCAAGAUUACACUGUGCGAACGCAAGAGAGGGGCCGCGAUCGCGAAGAGGAAAAGUCUGCAACAGCUAAGUUAAGUUUUUCGCAAUUUUUAACAUCACAAAAAUGCCCCGUUGAGCAUCCGAAACACACUCGAGGCCCCCGGGACCUCAACCAAACCUACAAACACAUCCCAUAUCAUCAUUCAAAACUUGCACCAAGUCAUUAAACCAACCAAAAGAACGCCGGAAACUCGAAUUAAUCAAGAAUUUGAGACUAAGAACUUCAAAUUUCAACAAAAUACAGUUUCGAUAAAAAAUCUAACCAAAAUACGACCAAAUGACCUAAACGUUCGCAUACACAUUUCAAAUGAUAUGAUGGAGCUACUGCAACUUCUGGAACUCCAUUCCGACCCUCGGAUAAAAAACUCACUAUCGGACCGGAAACUUUAAAAAUUCAAACUUCGGCAUUUCAAAAUGAGCAACGAAAAUCCGAAAUGCAUUCCGAAUACUUUCCCAAUCAUGAAAUCACCUAAUGUAUCUAACAUAACCAUCAGAUUUACAUUCCGAGGUUGUCUUCAAAUUGUUACGACUACAGAUUACUUUCCAACACUUAUGCUCUCACUUAAGGACUAAGUAUUCCAAAACUCUCUGAAACCCAAUGGCGAACAUCCCUUCAAAACAAAAUAAAAGAAGUAAACUUAGGAGAAGCGGUUAAUAGGGGAUCAGGGCGUAAAUUCUUAAGACGACCGGCCUGGUCGUCACACUAGUAAAGUUAAGAAACGUGGCAAUUUGACCAUACGAACUUUUUUCAGUGUUUUGAAUGCGCGAGCAGGUCGGUAGCAUGUUUUAUGAUGAAAAUUCAUAUAUGGUUUGUGUCUGAGAGGUUCCAAAUGAGUUUCGAGGUGGUUUCAAAUCAUUUCAGAGAAGCUUGGAUUUUUCUGGUUUCUGGUGCGACAGUGUUCAUUCGCAAUUGCGAACCAUUUGUGACAAUUGUGAAAAUACUAUUCAUCCGCAAAUUCCAACUAUUUAUGGCAAUUGCGAAAAUUCUGUUCAUUGGAAAUGCAAUGUUUAGUUCGCAAAUGCGACAUAAACAGCAUGUUAAGUGUUGAGAAUCCGAGUUUUUGCUUCAUUUUUCUUAUUUUUUAACCGUAGCUUCGAAGUGACGCGAUUUUGAGAGGAGAUUAUCAUACCAUAAUAUUAAGUAAGUAUCUUUAACCAAUUUCCAACUAUAUUUCAUAAUGUUAUACAAAGAUUAACAUCAAAUUUAUGGGAAAACUAUGGAAAAAUUUGGAAAUUUUGUCAAAGUUUUGAAAAAUAAAAAUUAGUAAUUUGGGAGUCGAAUAAGACUCGUAUUCGAAAACAAAACACAUAUUUCAACUCGUGGGGCAAUGGGUAGUCAAGACCUACCUUUGGACCCAGGUAUUGACCGGAUGGGCCAAGGAUUUUACUUCUGUUGACUUUUCAAAAAUUGAAUAAAAAUCAUAACUUUAUUAAUUGAAAUUGUUUUGUCUUGCAUUGUGUGAUGUAUUGAGUCUCAAUUGGCUAGAUUGAGUCGAACGAAGAUUAAUUCAUAAAGGAAAAGGCUAAAUCGAGUGUUGGAUAGCCGAAUUAUGAUAAGUGUUUUACCUAGCUUCGUUGAGGGAAUUUUUCCUCCUAUUUUCAUUAUUUGCUACUCCUAUAAAUAAGUGGCAAUCUGGAAUAUGUUUGUGGUUCUAUUUCUAAUUUAUGAAAUUGUUCUGCAUGCUUUUGUAUUGAACAAAAGUCUACUACUCCCUAUAUAAGUAAGAGAAGUUACUUUCUAUUAAUAUUCCUUUAGUUUUGUUAUUAUAUCCGUGACCGUUUUACAGGAAAAAAUAAAAAAUCAAGUAAAGAAUUGAUGAAUUAUGUAUACAAAAUUAACAAUAACAACCAUGCGUCGAUCACAUCCAUCAAAUAUACUUAAUCAAACGGCUGAAUUCCUUGAUACCUAACCCUAUACAUCACACAUUCCGAGCAACUACCAUAAGUCAAUAAACAUAUUCCUUCGAACUAUAGUUGACACAAGUAUACCAUUCAUUGACAUCGUACCAAGGUUUCGGUAUUCCUAAUCACACCUUUAAACCAUUCGUAUUGUUUCCCCUCAUAAUUCAGGAGUGAUGUUGUUCAACAACUACCUAAGUAUGUACCCUUUUCCAAACAAUACAUACUAAAUAGGCACGGUCAUUUGAUGGCCAUUCAAUCAAUAACAAUAAACACGUAGUUGAACAAAUAGAAAAAUCCAACACUUCAAUUAUAUAAACACAUAUCAAGAAUUUAUCCUACAAAAGGUUCUAUCAAAAUUCUUGAUAACAAAAUUGGCAAUUCAUAAUAGUAUACAUAACUACAAUAAUAGAAUUCAUUACCAAUAAAGGAAAUAGGAAGAAGGAAGUGAAAAACUCAUAGAAAAAUUUUUUGCUUUACUCCUAGUGUGUUCUUGCCUCCUAGAGCCAAAUCCCCGUAACUGCGGUAUUUAAUGACGAUUUAUAUAUGUUUGGAAAAAAUCUAGACGAAAUAACCAAAUCCUAAACCAAAAAUAAAACCAAAUAUUUAUUGCCUAACACUCUCAUUUCUUUCUUUUGCUUUCCAAUUUCAUCUCACAUCAAUUUGCACACUUUAUCCUUGAAUAAAUUUGUCUUCAAUCAUUAACCAAUCAUGAUAUCAUAAUAUUCUCCAUCAUUAAGUAAUCACAAAUCAUUUUUGCAGUGCAUAAAAUACACAUUAAAUCUCUAUUUUUCUUCCAAUUUCGUUUUCAACGUACCUACACAUAAAUAUCGUUAAAUAAUCACAAAUCAUUCUUACCCUGCAUAAAAUACACAUAAAAUCUGUAUUUUGCUCCCAAUUUUAUCUUCAACGUACUUACACAUAAAAUAAACUCAAUUCAGUAUAAAUAUAAUACAAUUUUGCAUUAAAGCACAUAAAUAUAAGGUAGGUAAUGCACUAAAAAUAUAUAAUUAGAGGCAAACAUCACUACCCAACUUAAACGUUGCUCGUCCUUGAGUCACCCAACAAUCCACACUAUCAUUAAGCACUUUAUAUUUACACAAUUGAGGCACACUACACGACUGAUUAUGAUUCAUAGCAACAAUUAAGCUAGAGCAAUUGACAUCAACACACACUUCACUUUACUACACUUCCCUUUACUUUAUGCCAUACUUCAACAUUUUAUUCAACAACAAGACAAUAUGCUUUAUAUCAAUCCUAGCCUCAUAAACUGGCUCAAUGUCAUAAUGCACUCAUAGCUUGAACACUCAACAUCGCAGAGAAGUCUACUAAUGUUACAUAUCCCUUAUGAAACCAUGUGUCCUCACAACAAAAAUAACAGAGUAAGUUGAAUCCACAUAUUCAAAUCAAAUACUCAAUUAUAUUUUAAGGACUCAUAUAUAUCAAAAAAUAUCACCCACUCUCAUAAAUAAGUCACAUGCAUGCAAUUGGUACCAUAUGUUUGCCCUUAAUGUAAAUAUCUACUAAUGUAAGCUCACUCAAUCUAAAUCAAUUGGGAAUUUUUCAAAGUUGUAAUGUGGGCAAAAGGACGGGUACAAUAUAUUUAGGAAUAGUGGUCCACCUUCCUAAGUACUUUAACACAUCACAUAACCGACUUUAAGAACCAAUUCUCUUAAUACAACUUCAGCUUCAUAAACAAUAUCACCCCAAAAAUAUUUCUUUUUUCUUUAAGCACUAUCUUCAUUUACACUACAUUAGCAAAAAUAAGAUAUUUAUUCAUUUAGAUUUUUUUCUUUUUUAUGAAUAUUUUUUCUUUUUCAAUUUUUCGUAGUGGUGUAUUAUUUUACAAAAUAAGUGCACCCUUCUUUCUUUCGUUGGUUCCACUCAAAAGUCACCCCACACUUAGUCUCUUCUUACUUUUUUUUAGUGCUCAUCUCACAAUUAAAGUGGUUUAAGAGGUAAAAUGAUAAAAAAAUAUCAAUUAAGAAUAAAAAAAGUAUGUGAUUGUAAUGUGUGGGCCAAAUAAAAACAUAUAGGAUCAAAAUAGUUAACUAGGGAAUUAUAUUUUAUUUGUAAUAAGAAAUAAAGCUCAAAAAAAUCAAAGAAAGCCUAAAAUUAUUUUUCACAUCAAGCUUCACCUAAAAGUUUGCUUCAUGUCACGACCGAGAUUUUCCAUCCUCGGGAGUCAUGAUUGCGCCUACAAGUGAAAGUUAGGCAAGUCGACCAUGUGGAUCAUUUACUUUCUUCCCAUUUUAAUCCUUUUUUAAUUAAUAACCAACAUUAGAAAAACAACAGAAUUUAAUAGGCGGAAGACUGAAAUGUAAUAUUUAAUAAAGACGCCAAUACCAAUCCAUAAAUAAACUACCCAAGACUGGUGUCACAAUUCCAUUGACUGUCCAGGAAUAGUAAAAAUAAAGGUCCGAAAGAUAUAUGACAACAAAAAUACAUAAAACAAAACAGAAUUAAAGGAUAGGGGAAGACGCCAAGAGAGGUCGAAUUGUAUCCUAUUUGACUAUGGCCAUUGGCUGUAGUUGUGUUAUUUUGAGCUAGGUCAGAAUUGUAUCCUGUUGUAGUUCGAGCAAGGUCGAAUUUUUCUUUUGGAGAAUGCCGAUGGCCGUAGGGGUGUUAUUUCGAGCACGGUCAAAAUCGUAACCCGUUGUAAUACGAGCGAAGUCGAUUUUUUUUUUUGCAAGGGCUGAUGGUCGUAGGGGUGUUAUUUUGAGCAAGGCUUGUAUUGUAACCCAUUGUAAUUCGAGCGAAGUUGAACUUCUUCUUAUGGUGAUGGCCGAUGGACAUAGGGGUGUUAUUCCAAGCAAGGUCAGCAUUGUGACAUGUUGUAAUUCGAGCGGGGUCGAAUUUCUCUUUUGGCGAUGGUUGAUGGCCUUAAUGGCGUUAUUUUAAGCAAGGCUGAAAUCGUAACCCGUUGUAAUUCGAGCGGGGUCGAAUUUAUCUUUUUGCGAUGUUCGAUGGACGUAGGAGAGUUAUUUCGAGCAAGGUAAAAAUUAUAACCCGUUGUGAUUCGAGCGGGGUAAAAUUUCACUUUUUCGCGAUGGCUGAUGGUUCUAGGGGUGUUAUUUCGAGCAAGGUCGAAAUUGUAGCCCGUUGUAAUUCAAGUGGGGUCGAAUUUCUCUUUUGGCAAUGGAUGAUGGUCGUAGCGGUGUUAUUUCGAGCAAGGUCGAAAUUGUAACCCGUCCUAUUAUUUUUGUUGGAGUAACUCGUCGCCCUAUUGUUUACGUCGGCACCGGGGCAAGUCCCGAUUUUCUUAACUUUGCUUUUAUUGAAAAAUACAGUACGUUUAUCAUUGGAGAAUACUUGUGCGUCUCGUGGGUGAGUCCUAGUUUGCUUAAUUUUUCAUUCAUUGGAGAACGUUGUGAUUUUCUUGGGUGAGUCCCUGUUUGCUUAAUUUCGCUUUUAGUGGAGAAUGCUAUGUGUUUCCUCUUCUGAACCGACAAGAGAUUAAGAUAAGUUAAAAGUAAACAAAAUAACCUACUACCUUGGUUUGGCAAGUCGGCGAAAGGGGGAAUGACACUGUGGGCUCACGACAAGAGAUUAAGGUAAGUUAAAAGUAAACGAAAUAACCUAUUACUUUGGCCUGGCAAGUCAGCGAAAGGGGGAAUGACACUGUGGGCUCACUCGCUUUGCCUCGUACAUGACUAGUGGUUUUAGAUUUGGCAGCCAUGUUCAGCUUCAUUUUUAACCGUGGCUAGGCUUUAUGUGGGUUGGACUUGCCUCACCCGUUGGGACAUCGAGAUCGAGUCCCAAUCCGACGCCGUCAGAUAUGCACAAACAAUAAGGGAAACAUGUCAUGCUUUGCUAAUAAAUCAUCUAGUGCGUGUGGGCACGGAUAUAGGGCAGGAUACGCUCGCUAUUCCGAAGUACCACACAGUAGGCUAUUGUUCUUUCCUAAGAGGGGGGAGUAGAGAUCGGUAUAUAAGGUGAAUAUAUCAAAUGAGGUUGCGGUCAUACACAGUAGGCUAUUGUCCUUCCCUAAGAGGGGGGAGUACAGAUCGGUAUAUAAGGUGAAUUCAUGAAAUGGGGUUGCGGUCAUGUUAGGUGUAUGGUGACCGUGGUUCUACUUUAAAUGUGCAUAUGACGUGCCAAACCCAUCACUAUCGGCGAGACAUGGGUUUCGCAUAGACAUUGGUCGCAAUUUCUAUUCUAAGUAAAGACCUAGCCUUAAUUGGUACGGUUAUUUCAAAUGUUUUCUUACCAUUCUUUCGGGUGGUGUUUAUGCCGUGAUAGUGAGGCUACGGAAUACUGGCAGUGAUACUUGGCUGGAUCUGGAUCUAAAGAAAACUAAAAAAUUUGGCUAAAGAAUCCUCACGGACGGCGUCAAACUGUUUUACCAAAAAAGUGUUGAACCUUUUAGUUAAACUAAUUAAUAAAAAAAUGGAGGAUAAAUCUUACAUAACUAACUCUAGCUCCAAACAUAUUGAAUAUGAAAAUCGAAGGAGGCCAAGCUUCUAUAAAUCCUCACAGACGGCGUCAAACCGUUUGACCAAAAAAGUGUUGAACCUUUUUGUUAAACUAAUUAAUAAAAAAAUGGAGGAUAAAUCUUACAUAACUAACUCUAGCUCCAAACAUAUUGAAUAUGAAAAUCGAAGGAGGCCAAGCUUCUAUAACAUUUCUUAAUAUGAUUAACAGAAAUUAAAUAUAAAUGAUAAGCUUACAUCUUUGAUAUAUUUGUUUCGUUCUUGUAAGAGAUGAUUAACAGACAUUAAAUAUAAAUGAUAAGCUUACAUCUUUGAUAUAUUUGUUUCGUUCUUGUAAGAGCAAGGAAGGAAAGGAGGAAACGUUAUUGAUAACUAUGAGAUUUAUCUUUGUUGAUUUAACAAUAAUUAUUACAAAAGGUUGUACCAAAAUAUGGACUGUUGGUUUGUUGUUGAGGAUCUCCUCUUGUUCUCAUCUUUGAUAUAUUGUUCAUUUCUUUUCUUUGAUGGGAGCUCCCCUCUCUCUCGCCUUCCCCCUCAUAUAUAUUGUAAUAACCUGAAUUAUUUUAUGUACUUAUUUAUUGUCAGAUUAGCAAAUUAAAUUUUUCUUUGUAGUUACUGAGUCAUAUACUAAGGCAACGAAAGAAAAUUUAUUAUAAUAUAUAGGACUCCAGGUAUGAAUAUUAACUUUAACAUACACUUUGAAUUUAUUUUGUCUAGAAUAAAAGUGAUGGCAAGAUAAAGUGUAUAAGCCAACGAUUAGGAUGAUAACUACAGGACCAUAUAUUAUAGCAAUAAUUCGUAAGCCUGUAAAAUUAUAUACCGGGGGAUAUCAAACAUAGAACUGAUCUAUGAAAGAGUUAUUUGGGCUUUACUAUCUUAGAAUAUUGGUGGCUAAAGGAAGAUAAAUAUAAUUGUUGGCAUAUCACGGUUAAUAGGCUAUAAUUAAGUUAAUUUAAGAAACUAGGAGCAGUAACAAUUCAUUGUCUUUUACUAUCAUUAGUGAUGAGAACCAUGAUUAGGAAUUUAACUAUCACAUGAAAGUUAUGAAACAUUGUAUGUUACAAAGAAAAACAAAGGUAUAAGAACGUGAAGUUCUUCUAGGAUGCUACCAUUGCAGCACUACAGUGCCUCAUUUGACAUUUAAUUUUGACUUGCCCGAAAAUUAUAGAAAUUAUUCACCUCAACUAAUUAGAACGUGUUAUUUAAUAUUCUGUAUAGAUUGAGGCUAUUGGAGGUUGUUCGGUUGAUGUUCUAGAAGUAACAUGGUCUUGUCGUUGGCUAGGUAAGUAAGACUUUAAGCUUUGGAUGCUUAUUUUUUCAAAACCUAUUUUGAAAGUAUAAUUUUUCGCCCGGUCCAUGUGUUGGGACAAGCGUACGCUUGGCAGAAUCGGUGGUCGUUGACUAGUCGCAAAUAUAUACUAUUUUUAAAAAGCUAAAAUUAUUUAAUGAGUGAUUUGUGAUGUGGUGUAGCCUCGUGCUAUGUCGUUGAGGCGUUAGAAUUUAUUCCUUCUGUGUCGUAACAUAUACUGGGGCAUUGUUUAUGCCGCCGUUAUAAAAUUUGGGGCAUUGUGUAUGCCGCCGUUAUAAAUUUUUGGGCAUUGUGUAUGCUGUCGUUGUAAAAUUUGGGGUAUUGUGUAUGCCGCCGUUAUAAAAUUUUGGGCAUUGUGUAUGCUACCGUGGACUCAUCGGGAUGUUGUUUAAUUUCCAUCACUACUGUUAACGAUAAGUCCUUAAUGUAGAUUGUGUUGAUAUAUAGUGUUGUUGUUGAACAAUUGUUUGGACCUUAUAGAGUAAUUAUAUGGUAAAAGAAUUUCUGUGCAUAUUAUUUCUGUUCUCUUUGUGUGUUUGUAUUUUCUAACACUUGUUCCAUAAAUAUUCAGAGUGGCGGGUUGAUGAUCUUACUGGAUUAUUGUGAUGACCCGAUCCAUCGUCACAUGGGUUACCGCCCGGUUUUUCCCUUUUGAUGCUUCUAUAUGUUUUCAUUAUAUGUGUUUGUAGAGUUUGGUUGGAAUUGAGACAAUUAGUCUCUUUAAGAGAAGGCUAGUUUAGAAAAGUCAACCGGAUGUUGACUUAUGAGUUAUAGGGCUCGGAAUGGAUUUCCGACGAUUCGACUAGUUUUGGGUUGUGAUUUAUGACUUAGGGGUGAAAUCGGAACUGAAUUUGGGUGUCCGGUGUAGAAUUAGGCUUGAAUUGGCUAAGUUCGAAUUUCGGCGAAUUCUGGUUGGUAGGUGAGAUUAUUUAUCUAGGAUUGGAAUGGAAUUCCUAGAGUUGUUGUAGCUUCAUUAGGUUAAUUUGGAUAUGUGUGAAAAAUUUCAGGUCAUUCGGACGUCGUUUGGUUGGACUUUUUUUCGUACGUGAAUUUCGAAAGUUCUUAAGAAAAUUAGGCUUGGAUUGGAGAAAUUUGGUGAUUUUUGGUGUUAAUGUUAGUGUUUUUGUGGCUCGAUCAAGUUUGAAUAAUGUAUUAGAUCAUAUCGAUGUUUUUGGUUUAGGCCCCGGGGGGCCUCGGGGUAACUCCGGAUGGUUAAGAGGAGGUUGUAGGAGUUUUUGCCAUUUUCGUUGUGCUGGUUUUGUUAUUUUCGUGUCUACGGAAAAGGAGCCGCUUAAGCGGUUCCGCAGACGCAGCGGGUGAGCCGCAAAGGUGGCCAAUGGGAAGUGGCCUGGAUCGCGGGUGCGGAAGGCAGACCGCAUAGGCGGUGACCACGCAAGCGGUAGUUGACCGCAAAAGCGGUCCCUGGGAGAAUAAGUUGGACUGCAAAAGCGGUCGAGUGCACGUAGAAGCGAGAGCCGCAUAAGCGGAGGUAUGACCGCAGAAGCGGAAAUCGUGCUCUGUUUAAUGAAUAGACAUUUCACAAAUUUGAAAAGAGAAGAACAUUUGGACCUCGGACUAAGGCGAGUUUGGGAGCGAUUAUGAAGAGGAUUUUGGGGUAUUCUUGGACGUAGGGUUCAAGGUUUUUAAGGUUAAAAAUGGUGGUUAGGGCUUGAAACCCAAGUGAGCUUAAAGUGCAGAUUUGAUGGGCUAAAUGGACUUCGAUUCUUGUAAAUUUGAUAUGUACGGACUCGUGGAAAGACGAGGAUUUCGGUGAUGUAAUUUUUGUAAUUUUUUGAGAUGUGGGCCUGGGGAUCGGGUAUUGCUCACUUCGUACUUUUGGGUGUUUUUCAAAUUCUUUCUAUUAGGUUAUGUCCCAUUAGCCUAUUAUAACAUAUUUCUUGUGGUUUUGGUCAGAUUCUGCACUUGAGGAGGUCGAUUUGCGAGUAAAGCGCAAGGCGAGCUAGGAUUUUGGCCGUUUUGAGGUGAGUAAUGGAUAUGAAUGAUAUACCGAGGAUUUGAAACCUCGUAUUUGCACUAUGCGGUGCUAUGUUAAAAUAAAACACACGUCAUAUAAUGAGAGUGAUGAUGUUUCUGCUGGGGACUUGGACGCUGUCCAUCCCGAUUGAUGAUUUACUGCACUAUUUGACUGGGAUUGAGCUUGUACCCGUAUAUAUUUGGGCUAGUUGCCAUGUUUGGGGUGUUGUGCCGACCAUUAGAACUCCUAGGGAGCAUGUUGAGCCGAUUGACCUCUCUUUACCUAUUGAACGCAUACCAUAUGUCCUGACUUUGACUGUAAAUCAUGAAAUAAAUUGGACGUAGUAACUUGCACCCUAAAUGAGCACUACGUAGGUUGAAUUCCUUGUCUUAGCUAAGUGGGCCCGAAAGGCCAAGUCUUUAUUGAAUGUGAAGGGUCAAGGAUCCCGUAGUGAGGGUAGUUGAUAUAUACCGGAUGGGGUUGCGCGCCGUAUAUAUAUAUAUAUAUAUAUAUGUAUGUAUAUAUUGGAUCGAGCAGCACGCCGCAUAAUUUUAUACUAUAUGGAUCAGACCGCACGCCGCAGUACUAUAGCGCUUGGGCUGAAGGAGUCCCUCCGGAGUCUGUACACACCCCCAAUGAGCGCAGUACUAUAUUAUUGGCUCGGGCUACAUGCCGCAGCAUUAUAUAUAUUAUAUUGGAUCGGGCUGCAUGCCGCAACAGUGUUAGUACCUGGUCGGACGGAAAAAGAGAAGUAUUUAUUAUAUUCUCUCCCAUGUUUAGCAUUAUUCACUAUCGUCACUGUUGAUAUUAGAGCUUCAUAGUGUUUUUACCGGAUUUCUUACAUUCAGUUGUUAUUUAUUGCUAUUACUCACUGAGUUGGAAGUACUUACUCUACUCCCUGCACCUUGUAUGCUGAUACAGGGAUUCCGUUUGCUAGCUGUAAUUAGCUGUUAUUUUUCAGUUCAGUACCGGAGUUUUCAAGGUAGAUGCUGGCGUCCGCAGGAUCAGAUCUCUCCUCUAUCUAUCUUUUGUUUCUAUAUCUAGACCUUUCCUUUGUAUAGGAUACUGUUCGGUUGUAUCUAGAGGCUUAGACUUGUGACGCCGGAUACUUUGGGCUGUUAUUACUCUUGAUUACGUUUUCCGCAGUAUUUAUAUUAUAAUCAAACUAAGAAUUAUGCUAAAAACAAUUGGUAUUCAAGUUAAUGAUUUGGCUGGAAAAUGAUUAAAUGGUCGGGCUUGCCUAACAAGGUGUUUGGCACCAUCACGACCGGAAUUUGGGUAGUGACAAUUAUAUACGUAUUACUCACUCCUUACCUGCAUAUCCAUGCAGUUACUAUUGGUGAAGACGGAGCUAGUAGCCGAUGAGUUCGCUAGAGUUGAUUCAAUCAUUCGGUGAGCCGCCACAUUGUUCGUAGAGGCUGCCCAAAAAGUCUUUGUCAUUUAUUAAUGUGAGGUCUUUUGUAAUUCUCUUAUAUCUUCCAUGGUCCAGUGUGGGAUUUGGGUUAGUGUGUUAAUCUUAUAUUUCAAGACAUUAAUUAUUCGUAAUAACUAUCAGAUUAAUUGGAUACUAAUUUAAUCAAUUAAAUGCUGUAAAUUAAUGGCUAAGGUGAGAAAGUAUAGUUCGCCCGGUAGGUGGGUUAGCUGGGUGCCAGUCACGUCUUGGGGGUAGUUUGGGAUGUGACAUAUAUAUUGCAAACUCCCCCCUUUAGCCAACAGUAUUUACCCAACGGACCCUCUCGUGACUAUACUCUUCCUUUCUUUCCCAAGUAUUACGACGUAUGUGCUAUCGUGUAGGCCUUCUGACGGCUCGAUUUUGAUAGUAGCCGAGAUACUUUUCGAUGUUAUGCCUCUUGGUAAUGACUACGGCUUGGUGGACCUCUUACCAUUACAUUUAAUGAUGAUCACUUAUGAUCAGAUUUUAACCCAUACAAAUACAUGUAUUAAUUUGGGUAGUAUUAAUAUGUUGUUAUGUAAUAUUUUUUACGUUAUGUUUAACUAUUACUAUAAGUUAUACAUUUUUUAUGUAUAGUUUUUAAUUAAUGGAUAAGUAUAUAUAAACACUACUAGAAAACUGCCUAAAACCGUUCAGAAAUACCGACCGAAAUUGGUCAAAAAACUAGAAAAAUCGUCUGAAUUUAAUUCGUCGAAAUUAAGCUGGUCGGUAAUAAAUAGCAACCGAAGUCGGUCACAAUUUUCGAUUGAUUUCACUCGGUCAAUAAUAUUUUGCAAGCGACCAAAAAGAAAAAUCUGCCCAAAACCCGACCGAAGACGGUCGGUCGGUAUUAAAAUAAAAAUAAAUUUCAAACUUAUAUUUUUAUUCUGAAACUAACCCCUCAGUCUUAUGCCUAAAUCUUUACUUCAGUGCUUUUCGAAAAAUGCCUCUUGACAACUUUACUUUUACUUAAGGAGUCCGGCUAAUUUGCAAGCCAUCUCUGAACUUCUGCAAUUUUUAUUUUUCCGUUUCAAAACUCUCCGGUACAGGCUCCAAUCUAAAAUUAGUGCUUUCCGAAUCACUUAUUUAAAAAUACCUUAAGUUCUGGGUUGCCUAAUGCGGACUUUAUAUCCAACUUUAUGUGUUAAGCUAAUCUGCCCAAUGUUAAUUUUAAUUUUAAGACCAAACCAAUACAUGUAAGUCUUACUAAAUUAAUUGUUGUGUGAUCUACGGGGUUCUGUAUGAGCCUUUGAGUGUUUGACUUGUAUACCACUAUUUGUUAUUUAUUUUGAUUGACGCCUUAGUAUUUUAUCUUUUUAAACUCUAUAUAUGCCUCCAUCCCCUUCUCCCUUUAGGAUUAGAAGUCCAAAUACCCCGGGACAGAUAGGUUGGGAUGGGUACUAGCAUGCAAUAAGUAAACAAGACUAAUCGCGCUUAAAUACCUUAACGGGGUGGGAAGGGUAGAAUAUGACGAUGAUGACGAUGCAGUGAUAUCAUAAGGUGACGCCUCUUUGAAGAAUAUGUGCGGAAUAUUGCAUCGAAUGAUCCAUAUUAUAGUUAAACCUAGGACCCUCUUAUUUUACUUUUCCUUUAUUUAAAUGUUUUCUUCAAACUAAAACACUCUUUUACUUGUGCGAUUCCUCCUUAAAAAUUGUCAACUUGCUUGAAUUUCUUAUGUGCAAACUUUGUUCGUCUACUCCUACCCUUCUUAAAGUCACAACUAAGCAAGGCCGGGAAACACACUAGUGAAUCUUGAGGGGUGCCUAACACCUUCCACUCGAGAUAAUCUCAAGCCGUUACCCAAACUCUGGUUUUCUUUCAAAUCUUUCUUCUUUUCUCGAAAAGUGUCCUAAUGCACUAUAAUCAUUAGGUGGCGACUCUUCAAACGUUAUAGCCCAAAUUCCCCCAAAAGGGGAUAAAGGAUUCAUUCCACCCAUAAUGUCAUAAAUCUAAUUUCUCUCCCCGCGAGGAAAAAGGGGGCGUGGACACUAGAUUGUUGGGUCUUCCAAAAUUAGUCGCGUACCAAUCUUCUCUGAAACAGGUCGACAGCAGGUACGACACUCCUCCGCAUAAGGCAGCAAUUUAGCCGCCCGUUGUCUAAUAGUGUUGAUAAAUCGGGGCGGAGAGGCCCUCGCUACAAAGAAAGAAAAAUCAUAGCGGCCAAAUAGUCAAGGCCUUCAAAGCUUCAUACAAACAAGAAAUUCGACAAACGGAGGUACUCACAUUCCGAAUUCCAUUUCUCUGGGAAUCCGUCAGGGUUGGGUACCAGAUAAUCCGUUCUAAUUAAAAAAUACCUACGCAUGAAGCCACGACUAGAUUUGACAUCGGUCUUGACUACCAACCCUUUCGAGCCACGAAUCAUCAAGUGUAACAUACCCCUAGGUAACCAGUAUUAAACCAGUGAAAAAGAUGAUGAACAAAGACAUCGCACCCGGCCCGCUCCGCGUACGUAAUCAGAACCCUGCUCACCUUCAAGGUAUAAGGGUGAGCUGGGUCGGCACACGUUGUAAAUUUGGCAAAACUCCUCCGCCGAAUGAUUAAUGGGGAGACUGUAACCGAUCAAGAAUGGGUAUUCAUAAAAUGUGCAGUAUCCCGAUAUGUGAACGUUUGAGUAAUCCGUUCCCGCCGAGACCAUUUGCACAUGAGUCAGAAUGUUAUGUGCCGCACAAAGGUCGUUUAAAUGAUUUUGCAUCAGUUCAUUGUUUUUUCAGGGAAGAGUGGGGUAUGGUCUUCUGAAGUCACCUCGAACGAGAAGUUCUUUCAGCAGCACAUUAUCCAUAGUAAGAGGAACAAGAGCCUUUUCCACUUCCUCCUCUUCACAGCCGGAGGAAGGCGGUACCCUAGAUGGGGCGGUGUCUUUAGCCUUUUUGUCAUUUUAGUGACGCUUUGCCAUGGUUUCCAUUCAAAAAUAUGGUAUGAACAACGGGAAGGGUGACUUCUAAGAAAUAGAGGAGUCUCAAAUGAAAGAACAGUUAUUUGGGAAGGAAAACUCCGUUCAAAAAUAAGGUAUGAACAACGGGAUCAAAGAUAAAUCACGUUGAACCCUUCCCCUAUUUAUAUGGUUGGGUGGCGCAAUGAUCGAAGAGGCAUAAUUCAAAACGGGUGCGAAAAAUUGAACGUCUAAUAACCCUCUGAACCGUCUUGAGAACAUGUGUAAUAAUGAUGCAUGCGGGCGUUGAUGUCAUUCUAAAGCGGAAGUCACGCGUCAGCAGCCUAACAAUCUCAUAUGUUUUAUCUCAUUUAUGUUACCCCCUUCGAGUAAUGUAAAAUUCUCACAAAACGAGGAUUGAAGUUCCGUCCCUUGGGGACGCUUCCCAAUGCGCCCCCAACGGACAGAGGGACUAUCUGUAUGGAGUCGAAUUCCACUCUUAACGUCUCCGCAUUAGUGGGUACGACCGACGGAUGUGCGACAAGCUAGGCGUGAGGAUGGGAACGACGCCUUUUAAAUUCGGCGUCCCCACUAAGGGAAUAUUACCUACUCUUGUUCUAUUUUUAUUAUUUCGAGGAGUGUCUCCAACUAUAUAAAAGAGACCCUAAUGUUGUAAACGGAUCCAUAAUUAUUCUCGGAUAAUAUAAUUCUCUCUUUCUCUCUCUAUCUCUAAAAAGAUAUUCUUCCAAUAUCAUCAGAUCUACUUGAACAAUAUUAUUUUUAUCUCUAGUCCUUAUUAUAUUGGAUUACGAUUUACCCUCAUUUAUUUUGAUUGGUUUAUGCUUACAAAGUAUCCUGAUAAAUUUUGAGUCAAACAGUUUUGGUAAAAGAGUCGGCUUGCCUAGUUCAUCGAUAGGCGCCAUAACGAUAUGGUAGAUUAGCCUCGUGACAAGUGUUAACGGUUCUUGUUCAACAUUACGGGUCGUUUGGUCGGAUGUAUUAGAAAUAUUACAAGCAUUAACUUGGGUAUUAUAAAUAUCUUGUUUUAUUGUAGUUUUCAAGCUAUGUAUAAGUAAUAAUAUAAUACUAUUAGUUAUACAUCCAAUUCAGUAGUAUUCUUAUUCAUAUCAAAUCAUAGCAAUUACAAUAUCAUAAUCUUUAAUUCAUGGAUAAGUAUGUAUAAAGACAAAACUAUCAUCUAAAAAACUUUUAAUAUAUCUCAGCAAAACAUCAAUAAGAAAUAAUUUCAAUAUAACUAAUCUAAAUAUUAUUAGUCCCAGCAUUAUUUAUACACUAUAUUCAAUACCAUUCUUAUGCAGCCUACCAAACAAUCCCUAACAUGUUUAACACGUUCACCAGAAUGGAACCAUCAAAAAUGAAACAAACAUGUACUGGGUUCGUAGAAACAUCGAUCAUUAUUCUAGGAGAUAUCUUGUGACUAAAUGUACUUAUGACAAGUAUUUCCAUCAUAAUACUCUUCAAACAAUAAAUAUUUCACUAGUAUUUCAAGUGUAGAAGUUAAAAACUUGCAAACAUUGAUGAGGAAACAAACAUGUACUGGGUUCGCAGAAACAUCGUACAUUAUCUAGGAGAUAUCUUGUGACUAAAUGUACUUAUGACAAGUAUUUCCAUCAUAAUACUCUUCAAACAAAAAAUAUUUCACUAGUAUUUCAAGUGUAGAUGUUAAAAACUUGCAAACAUUGAUGUACAAAUCAGUAUUUACAACAAUUCUCCACCACACAAUAAAUACACAAAACUUAUCUAGAUAUAAACCUAAAAAAAAGUUGGUUUUAUGCUUAACUAUUCCCCUUUAUCCAACGGUCUUUACCCAAUGGACCCUCUCAUGACUUUCUUAUUUAGAUAUAAACCUAAAAAAAAGUUGGUUUUAUGCUGAAAUAUUCCCCUUUAUCCAACGGUCUUUACCUAACGGACCCUCUUAUGACUAUACUCUUCCAUUCUUUCCGAAGUAUUACGACAUAUGUUCUAUCGUGCAGGCCUUCUGACGGCUCGAUUUUAUAGUAGCCGAGACACUCAUCGAUGUUAUGCCUCUUGGUAUGACUACGGUUUGGUCGACAUCUUACCAUUAUAUUUAAUGAUGAUCACUUAUGGUCAGAUUUUAUCCCAUACAAAUACAUGUAUUAAUUUGGGUAUUAUUAAUAUCUUGUUAUGUUAUAUUUUUCAUGUUAUGUAUAACUAAUACUAAACUUUUUCUUAAGCAUAGUUUUAAGUUAAUGGAUAAGUUUGUAUAAAAACUACUAGAAAACUUCUUGUUAUGUAUAACUAAUACUAAACAUUUUUUAUGCAUAGUUUUUAAUUAAUGGAUAAGUAUGUAUAAACACUACUAGAAAACUUCCUAAAACCGUCCAGUAAUACCGACCGAAAUUGGUUAGAAAGCUAGAAAAAUUGACCGAAUUUAAUUCGUUGAAAUUAAGCUUGUCGGUAAUAAAUAGCAACCCAAGUCGGUAGAAAUUUUUGAUUGGUUUUGCUCGGUCAAUAAUAUUUCGCAAGCGGCCAAAGAGAAAAAUCUGCCGAAAAAACCGACCAAAGACGGUCGGUAUUUUAUUUUCAACUGUUUGGGAAUCGAACCGGGGUCUUUAAUGUGGCAAGAUACUAUUCUACCUCUAGACCAUCUAUACAUUUUGAUUUAAGACUAUUUUUUAUUCUAUUUGUACUCUUUAAUUAUAUUUUCGCGUGAAAAUAACCAAUCGAUUACGGUUGAUUUAUUAAAAUUAUAAAAUUACUGACCAAAAUUGGUCAGUUUUUUAAAAUAACCGACGGAUGUCAGUUAGUUUUUUUAAACACUUAUUUUAAUUUUUUUUAUAUGAAAAAAGUGAUCGAAGUUUGUCAGUUUAUUAAAAAAAUAAAUUUCGGGAUGCCAGCAUUGUUUCCCGCAUUUUUGCACCAAAAAAAUCGACCGAAGUUGGUCGAUUUCAUAAAAAGAAAUUAAAAAAAUAAAAUAUUUUAAAAUACAGACCGACGUCGGUCGGCUUUUUGUCCGGCUUACGGUCGAUUUUGAUCGAAUUUCUAGUAAUAUAAGACAGAACUUACCUUUCAAAACCUUUAAUAUACCAAACUAAACAGUCGAUAAAAAAUAAUUUCAGCCUAACUAACCUUAAUAUUGUUAGUCUCAGUAUUAUUAAUACACCAUAUUAAUUAUUCUUCUUAUGCAUUCUACCAAACAGACCCUAACAUUUUAACACAUGUUCAACAUAAUGGAACCGAAAGAAAUGAAACAAAAAUGUACUAGACAACUCAUAUAUGUCACUUUUGUUUUCAUCUUAUCUACUAUUAUCCCUUCCAAAGAAACAUCGUACAUUAUUCAUCACAUCUUGAAGAUAUCAUGUGAUGGAGUGUGUACCUGAAAAAUUCAAUAAACAUACAUAAGUUAAAGCGUUAUGGCAAUAUUUUAUUGAAGCUGAAAAUAAUAAUUUAAUAUGCAUUUAUGCAAAGGGAUUUAUGAAAUGAGAAAAGUAUUUGAUAUCUUUUGAAAGUAUGCAACUCACAGUAUAAAUUAACAAGUACAAGUAUUUUUAUCACGUCUUAUAAGAGGAAGGUAAUAAAAUUAUGAGAGUUGAUAAAAUUAUGGAAGCCAAAAAUUGUAUCGAAUUCUGGCGAUUCAGUAAACCUAUGAAAUAAAACCGUAUCACGUCUUAUGAGAAGAAGGUAAUACAAUUAUGAGAGUUGAUAAAAUUAUGGAAGCCAAAAAUUGUACCGAAUUCUGGCGAUUCAGCACACCUAUGCAAUAAAACCACCAUUAAGUAAACUAUUUUGUGGGAGUUGAAAAAAGUGCCACAAAAUGAAUUAAUAAAACUCCCACAAUAAUAUUAAAAGUUGGACGAGUACAACUAUAACGUACCUAGUGUGAUUUCAUAAGCGGGAUUUGGGGCGGGUACAACUAUAACGUACUCAGUGUAAUAAACCGUCACAAUUUAAUAUAUUUUUUGUAGCGAUUUAUAUCAGUAGGAACUAUUAUUUUCAUCAAAAUACAAGCAUGUUACUAGCAUUCAAAUAUGGAAGUUGAAAAACUGCAAACACCGAUGAGAAAAUCCGUAGUAUUUGCAAAAAAUCUCCACCACACAAAAGAAAAACAUUGGUUUCCUCUAUAAAUAGUUCACUAUGAGAACCUUACUUGUACAUCAACAAGCUAAGAUAAAUCACUUACUAUACUCUUAAGAAAAAUCAAUGGCAGGGAAAAGUUUUGUGGUGGUGUUGUUGGUUGCAAUGCUUCUCAUGUCAACAGAGCAUUCCAUGGCUCAAAAACGUGAUCCCGUAUGCGCAGCAUUAUGCGCACUUCAGUGUGGAACACGUCCUGUAUGCUUAGCUAGGUGCAUGGCUCGUUGCUUCCUUAAUGCAAGUAAUGACACCUUAGACGAAUCUCAUUCAACUUCACUAGAAGCUAGAAACCGCGUCUGUAACGUUGGAUGUUCCCUUGGCCAUUGUUCCGAAUUCCUAUUCCAAUAUGGUAUACCUCUCUCUUUUUGUCUUGCUACUUGUAUUUAUGCAGCCAGACGUAACAUGUUCUAACAUUUUUUUUAACUCAACUACUUGUAUCGUAUAGUUGAGUUCGUUUUUUUGUUAUAAAACCUAGUUUAUGACUGCAAUUAUAUUAAAAGUUGGACGAAAACAACUAUUUCUUUAGACUUACAAAAUUAUUUUUCUGGUUAAUGUUGCAGAUAACGAGAAGUUUGGAACUUGCAUGUCAAACUGUAGUGAGAAUUAUUGCAUGGGCAACAAUGCUCUAGAGAAAGCUUAAGAAGCAAGCAUUUGCUCUAAGAAAUAAGUAAACUUUGCCACAAUAUGUGUCUGUGAUAAUGACACCGUGUACGGAGAACUGGUGUUUGUGAUCCAAUUAUCUAAUAAGAUCAUUUUAGUUCAGUUAAUAUAUCCAUGACCUUUUUACGGCGAAAAUACACAUUCCGUUCAUCUAUUAUUUCAAUAGUACACAAUACGUUAAUUUUAUUAGUUAAAAUACCCCUACAUUUAACGACAGACCAACUGAACUUUCAAAUUAAUGUGUUGGCAUCUUUUUACUUGGCCACAUGAUACUCUCGUCCAAAAAUAGAUCAAGUAAAACGAAAACUACAGGAAACCACACCUACAGCCGCCACCCUACCUUUUCCUCCUACUAAAAUAUAAGCCCUAAAAACAAUCAUUUUACAAAAAAAAAACGUCGAAACAACAGAAAAACGCCCUGAACAACUAUAAAAAUGCAGUUGGACGCGCCACUGUGUAGCAGCUCCAACAUCAUCUUGCUUCAGCCAUCUAAGCGACCCAUUUUUCUCCAGAUCUCAUUCUUCUAAAACCCUCAAAACCAGCUAUUAAAGCAAUUCCAUAACCCUGAUCUCACAGUUUCCUCCAACGAAACAACCACAAGAUACUGUAUUGGUAAAAUUUGGCUCCUAACGUCCCUACGCCAAGUAAUUACUUCUUCGGUAAGAAGAAGCCACCUACCUUUGUACUUUUUCUUUGAUUAUUUCGAGGAAGGUCUCCUAACUAUAUAAAGGAGAACUUCAUAUUGUAAUGGGGACGUGUGUUAUUCAAAAU
RNAcentral lists this long non-coding RNA (31019 nucleotides) under Nicotiana benthamiana. Its description in RNAcentral is "long non-coding RNA (NBEN_LNC010457)". The record is from RNAcentral. Lineage: Eukaryota; Viridiplantae; Streptophyta; Magnoliopsida; Solanales; Solanaceae.